Molecule: transfer RNA, 77 nt
Filed under: Microbacterium phage Vitas
Lineage: Duplodnaviria; Heunggongvirae; Uroviricota; Caudoviricetes
Description: tRNA-Asn
Rfam family: tRNA
About the family: Transfer RNA (tRNA) molecules are approximately 80 nucleotides in length.
Source: RNAcentral
UGCCCCGUAGCUCCAAUCGGCAGAGCAGCUCACUGUUAAUGAGACGGUUCCUGGUUCGAACCCAGGCAGGGCAGCCA